RNAcentral lists this ribosomal RNA (216 nucleotides) under uncultured bacterium. Its description in RNAcentral is "partial 16S ribosomal RNA". It matches the Rfam family "Bacterial small subunit ribosomal RNA", at positions 118 to 351 of the family's 1533-position model. The record is from RNAcentral.
UGGAUAUCUGCCUUUUGGUUCGGAAUAACCCCGGGAAACUAGGGCUAAUACCGGAUGGUUCCUUCGGGAUAAAGAUUUAUCGCCAAAAGAUGAGUCCGCGUACGAUUAGCUAGUUGGUGAGGUAAUGGCUCACCAAGGCGACGAUCGUUAGCUGGUCUGAGAGGACGAUCAGCCACACUGGGACUGAGACACGGCCCAGACUCCUACGGGAGGCAG